RNAcentral lists this ribosomal RNA (634 nucleotides) under uncultured bacterium. Its description in RNAcentral is "bacterial SSU rRNA". It matches the Rfam family "Bacterial small subunit ribosomal RNA", at positions 8 to 660 of the family's 1533-position model. The record is from RNAcentral.
AGGGUUUGAUCAUGGCUCAGGACGAACGCUGGCGGCAUGCCUAACACAUGCAAGUCGAACGAGAAAGUUCCUUCGGGAGCAAUUAAAGUGGCGCACGGGUGAGUAACGCGUAGACAAUCUGCCCUUCAGUCUGGGACAACUUUUCGAAAGGAGAGCUAAUACCGGAUAACAAUGCAUGACACAAGUUGUAUAUUUGAAAGCUUUAUGUGCUGAAGGAGGGGUCUGCGUCCCAUUAGCUAGUUGGUAAGGUAAAGGCUUACCAAGGCAACGAUGGGUAGCGGGUUUGAGAGGACGAUCCGCCACACUGGAACUGAGACACGGUCCAGACUCCUACGGGAGGCAGCAGUGGGGAAUAUUGCACAAUGGAGGAAACUCUGAUGCAGCAAUGUCGCGUGAGUGAAGAAGGCCCUUGGGUCGUAAAGCUCUUUUAUGGGGGAAGAUGAUGACGGUACCCCAAGAAUAAGCACCGGCUAACUAUGUGCCAGCAGCCGCGGUAAUACAUAGGGUGCGAGCGUUGUUCGGAAUUACUGGGCGUAAAGGGCGCGCAGGCGGAAUAGUAAGUCGGAGGUGAAAGCCCGGGGCUCAACCCCGGAGGGUCUUUCGAAACUACUAAUCUAGAGAGGGUCAGGGGCCG